This is a long non-coding RNA of Ornithorhynchus anatinus (platypus), 391 nucleotides long. RefSeq lists it as uncharacterized. Lineage: Eukaryota; Metazoa; Chordata; Mammalia; Monotremata; Ornithorhynchidae. The record is from RefSeq and is a predicted model, not a curated record. The transcript has 3 exons.
CCCAUCACCAUGGCGCGGGGUCUCCCAGGAAACGGCCCGGGAUGCGUUUGCGUCAGCACCGGCGGCGGGGGCGGCGAGGCCCCGGCCACGGGGACUACACCGACGGAGGAGCCCCCCGGCAGAUCCGAGGCGGGCCUGGAACAUCUCCAUCCCUGAAGACCUCGGCCCACCAACGGACCCGGCCCGCGUCCCUCGUCCCACGAAACCGGAAUCCACCUGCACCUCUUCCGUCUCGGAAUCCCCCAUCCCCACGCCAGGCUUGGGGGAAACCCGAUGUCUCGACGUGGCCUGGGGCUGACGAAGACAGCGUGUCCCACCAAGACCUGAGGACGAACAGUCCGAAAAUGCACACGUGGCCACAGGUUCCAGAGAGCCCUUAAAUAUCGUGACU